RNAcentral lists this signal recognition particle RNA (103 nucleotides) under Clostridiales bacterium KLE1615. RNAcentral's name for it is "Bacterial signal recognition particle RNA". It matches the Rfam family "Bacterial small signal recognition particle RNA". From Rfam's summary of the family: The signal recognition particle (SRP) is a universally conserved ribonucleoprotein involved in the co-translational targeting of proteins to membranes. Archaeal SRP consists of a 7S RNA and homologues of the eukaryotic SRP19 and SRP54 proteins. The record is from RNAcentral. Lineage: Bacteria; Bacillati; Bacillota; Clostridia; Eubacteriales.
AGUUUGGGUCUUACGCAACAAGACUCUGUGAACCAUGUCAGGUCGGGAACGAAGCAGCAUUAAGCAGAAUCUCUUGUGUGCCGUGAGGGUGCCUGAGCCGAGC